AUACCUUUCUCGGCCUUUUGGCUAAGAUCAAGUGUAGUAUCUGUUCUUAUCAGUUUAAUAUCUGAUAUGUGAGCCAUCGGCUCACACGAUAUUAAAUUCAUUUUUUUAGGGGGAAGGUCCAUCAAGGCAGCUUGCUGUCUGGGACGCACUACUGCACGGGCCUGGCGCACCCCAU
Molecule: small nuclear RNA, 175 nt
Filed under: Erythranthe guttata (spotted monkey flower)
Lineage: Eukaryota; Viridiplantae; Streptophyta; Magnoliopsida; Lamiales; Phrymaceae
Description: Mimulus guttatus (spotted monkey flower) U2 spliceosomal RNA
Rfam family: U2 spliceosomal RNA
About the family: U2 is a small nuclear RNA (snRNA) component of the spliceosome (involved in pre-mRNA splicing). Complementary binding between U2 snRNA (in an area lying towards the 5' end but 3' to hairpin I) and the branchpoint sequence (BPS) of the intron results the bulging out of an unpaired adenosine, on the BPS, which initiates a nucleophilic attack at the intronic 5' splice site, thus starting the first of two transesterification reactions that mediate splicing.
Source: Rfam by way of RNAcentral